This 241-nucleotide ribosomal RNA is filed under the name uncultured Lactobacillus sp. RNAcentral's name for it is "partial 16S ribosomal RNA". It matches the Rfam family "Bacterial small subunit ribosomal RNA", at positions 125 to 355 of the family's 1533-position model. Lineage: Bacteria; Bacillati; Bacillota; Bacilli; Lactobacillales; Lactobacillaceae. The record is from RNAcentral.
CCGUAGCCCAAGAGAUCGGGAUAACACCUGGAAACAGAUGCUAAUACCGGAUAACAACAGAUGAUGCCUAUCAACUGUUUAAAAGAUGGUUCUGCUAUCACUCUUGGAUGGACCUGCGGUGCAUUAGCUAGUUGGUAGGGUAACGGCCUACCAAGGCGAUGAUGCAUAGCCGAGUUGAGAGACUGAUCGGCCACAAUUGGGAACUGAGACACGGCCCAAACUCCUACGGGAGGCAGCAGUC